AUGUCAUCUGCAAACAGAGAUAGUUUUACUUCUCCUUUUCAGUUUUACUUCUCCUUUUCACUUUCUUUUUCUUGCCUAAUUCUUCUGGCCAGAACUUCCAAUAUCACGUUGAAUAGAAUAUUAGCAGUGGGCUUGCUAUAUGCACUUACAAUAUUGAGCCUCUCCUGCAGUCAGAUGUGACCAAAGGAAUAUGAGUGAAAGGAAUGUGUGCCUCUACCAAGCCUGACGCAUAUGAAGAAACAAGCCAUCCAUCCACAUCUGAUCCUUGUCUUCUUCUCCAUCUGCCAGCUGAAUGGAGAGAAAGAACUCCUGCUGGCCCACACUGGACUAUGACGUGAGCAAGAAAUACACUUUUAUUAUGUUAAGCCACUAAUAUUUUGGGAUUUUUUUUAGAGCAAUGGAAUCUAUCACGAUGAAUACAUUUUUUAACAUUCUAAUAUCUUUUUUUUUUUGCUAAAAUUGAUCCAUAUUCUGCAUACUUGCUUUUGUCACUGAUCAAGUACAUUUUUCCAAAUCUGUUAGUGUAGAGGCAAUUCAUUCUUUUUAAUAGGGGUGUAAUAAUCCUAUAUGUAUUGCAGUAUAUAUUUGAUAUGUUAUAUUCAACAUAUAUGAUUUAAUAAUUACUACAGAUGAGUAUUUCUUUGCUUUUAGAUUCCUACUUCUAUAAAUGAUGCUGCAAUAAACAUUCUUAUACACCCCCAUGUGUGUUAUUAACACAACUAUUCUUUUGAUAAUUUUCAAAAUGAUAAAAUUUGCCAAAUAUCCCUUUGGCUUCUCUUGACUUCUUUCUUCAAGUUAGUACUACUCCCAGUCUAAUUUGAAGGCAAUCUUCAUCAAUUCCAUGUCCCAUUGUCACCUCCAUCUAUUAUAUCACCCCUGUGGUCUGCAUCCUAGUUCAGACACCUACUACCUCUCACCUGCAUGAUGGCAGGAGAUUGACUGUUCCUUUAAAAUGUAUUAUUUUGGAAUGCUGGCUUAAGCAGAAUUAAUUGUUUUCCAAAUGUCAUCAACUCCUUAGACAUUGUGAGUUUCCUAUAAGGGGAUACAUCAUGCAGCAUUCCCCAAAUUUAUUUUACUAUAGUUUUUUUCCAGGGGGCAUCUUAAAAGAUUAAUGUAUAAAACACAAUUUGGGAAGUGCUGUUCUAUAUGACUCACCAAAACCAGUUUGUUCUCACUUUUUAACAAGAUAAAUUUAUGUCACAUAGACAGUCAUAGAUCUCCACUUUGCCCUUAAGGAUCAUAAUUCCACAUAUCAUUUGAAGACUAUUAUUCCUGGGCAUUUGCAGGAGAACAUAGUGAGUAAUUCUGAAAUAAAAUGUAGUUGUUCCUUGGUAUCCAUGGGGGACUGGUUCCGGAGCCCUCACAGCUAUCAAAAUUUCAGGAUGCUGAAGUCCCUUACAUAAAAUGGCAUAGUAUUUACAUGUAAACGAUACACAUCCUCCCAUAUACUUUAAAUCAUCUCUAGAGUAUGUACUAGUAAAUUUUUAUUUUACUAUGACUGUGUCUACAUUAUAUCAAAUAAUUCACUUUAAAAGUGAAAAAUGUAUUCAAGCUGAUUGUAUCACAUAACAUAGAUUUAAGAGAAUGAAUUUUUAAUGACACCGACUGAGCUAUAUACAAUUUAUCAUUUUCUUUCAGAGAGCAUUACAGAGUUGUUUGGUGUGCCAGUCAACUGCUUACUUGUUCUCAAAUCCUUUAUCUGACUUUCCCCUUGUGUCCUCUGUAUCACAAGGAACUGCACUUCUUAGGCUUUCUUUUCAAUUGGCAUCUGGAAAUACUUAGCCAAUGUUGGGGGAACUGGUAGAAUACCAGAAAGCAGAGAGAGAGAAGCCAGGGCAUUUUCCCUCUUUUUUAAUACCUUGGGUAGAAACUUUAGCAGAUUUUUUUUGCCAUGGUUCAAGCUACCACUACACAGCCCCUCCUGUGGUCCCAGAUAGUCUAGGCAGCCCUGUCUUGGUCUGACUCUUAUUAAAUAGUCCUGUCUCUGGAUUUUGGAAACAGAUUUCCUCCCAUUGUCUUCCUAGCCCUGGAGAUAGCGGUAGUCUUCUGCUGUUUCUAAUCUCUAGGUUACCUCACUACUUCCUGUUUGACUCUUCCCCUCCCAGACCUUGCCUAUUCCUUUUACUAAAUGCCCUCUUAUUAAAUGCCUAAAGUGGUCCUUCUUUAUGACUGGAUCAUGACUAAUAAGGAAAAUGGAGCAGAUAACCUACUUUAGAAUGUUAGUAGUGAGUCGAUGGCAUGGCCCAUGACAUUUUAGCAAUGGCAUUGACUCAACAUGGCUAAGAUUAUCAAAUGCUUCAAAAAUACCUAAAAACAGACUAAAAGAUAUUAUAUUAGCGAGCAAGGAGGGAAAAAUCAGUAAAGUUUGUCUCUGAUGCAGGGAAGCUAUUGUUUGCAUAUUGGUUUAUACUAAGGGUACUAGUCUAGAUGAAGGAAGAUAUCAUAAAAUCAAGAUAAAAUAAAUAAUAUGAGCACAUCAAGUAGCCUAGUGAAGAAAGUGAAAGAAAGCUAAUUUACUGAUAUGGUCUGGCUCUGUGCCACCACCCUAAUAUCAUCUUGAAUUGUAAUCCGAAUUUGAAUCCCCAUGUGUUGGUGUAAUCCCCACCUCGUGGGAGGUGAUUAGAUCACAGAGGCAGUCCUCCCAUGCUUUUCACAUGAUAGUGAGUGAGUUCUCACAGGCUCUGAUGGUUUUAUAAGGGGCUUUUCCCCUUUAACUUGGCACAUCUCUCUCCUGCUGCCAUGUGAAGAAGGAUGUGUUUGCUUCCCUUUCUGCCAUGACUGUAAGUUUCCUGAAGCAUGACACAUAUUAUUUUGGGGUAGUGGUUCUCUCUAGUACAGAAAGAAGAAGAAAAGAAUAGGUUAAAAAUCUUUGGUGGUAUCUGUUACGUAUCACUAUUUUUUAAAGGUUAUAAAGAAAAAUCUCACCUGAAACAAAGCAAAAUGCUAACAUAAUCUUGUGUUGUGGGGGAGUUACAAUUUCCAGUCCUUUUCUAUAUGUUUGAAAUAGGUCUCAACAGUAAAAUAUUAUGUUUUAUAAACAUAGUGAUUAGUUAUAUUAAACAUAUAAUAAAUAUCUAUGAAUCUACAAUUCAAAAUGGAAACUAGGAAUAUUACAAUAACAUGCUUCUAACUGUUUGGUGCCUGGUCCAUUCCUUACCUAUUAUCAUUUCCCCUUCAAAAUGUAACCAUUAUCCUGAAUUCCUGGUUUAUCAGUUCUUCCUGUUCCUUAUUAUAGAGGUUUAUUAUAGCUCUAUGUAUUCAUAAAAUGUAUACCCUAAAUGAUUUCUAACUUUUGAGAUGUGUUGAGUCUCUCUUAAAGGCAAAAGAAGACUCUUUAUAUACAAUUAAAACACCUAAAAUUUAAAAUGUAUAUUUUCUGGCUACAUGAAAUUAAACUAUAUUCAAUAACAAAAAGAUAACUAGAAAAAAAUCCAAU
This is a long non-coding RNA of Papio anubis (olive baboon), 3436 nucleotides long. Lineage: Eukaryota; Metazoa; Chordata; Mammalia; Primates; Cercopithecidae. The record is from Ensembl.